Molecule: ribosomal RNA, 407 nt
Filed under: uncultured bacterium
Lineage: Bacteria
Description: partial 16S ribosomal RNA
Rfam family: Bacterial small subunit ribosomal RNA
Source: RNAcentral
GACGAACGCUGGCGGCGUGCCUAAUACAUGCAAGUAGAACGCAGUUGCGAACGGGUGAGUAACGCGUAGGUAACUGCCUCUUAGCGGGGGAUAACUAUUGGUAACGAUAGCUAAUACCGCAUACUGUGAGAUGGACCUGCGUUGUAUUAGCUAGUUGGUGAGGUAAAGGCUCACCAAGACGACGAUACGUAGCCGACCUGAGAGGUGUAGCAGCAGACCUAGAACUGAGCAACGGGCCAGAAUCCUAAGGGAGGCAGCCGAAGGGAAUCUUCGGAAAUGGACGGAAGGCUGACCGAGCAACGCCGCGUGAGUGAAGAAGGUUUUCGGAACGUAAAGCUCUGUUGUUAGAGAAGCGGUAACUUACCAGAAAGUGACGGCUAACUACGUGCCAGCAGCCGCGGUAAUAC